RNAcentral lists this long non-coding RNA (844 nucleotides) under Homo sapiens (human). RNAcentral describes it as "long non-coding RNA NONHSAT171588.1". Lineage: Eukaryota; Metazoa; Chordata; Mammalia; Primates; Hominidae. The record is from RNAcentral.
AGAAUGGCGUGAACCCUGGAGGCGGAGCUCGCAGUGAGCGGAGACCGUGCCACUGCACUCCAGCCUGGGCGACAGAGCGAGACUCUGUCUCAAAAAAAAAAAAAAGUGCAGACUCCCAAAGACAGAUGUGAAGAGGUCCAGUGAUUUGAAUGGACAAACAGCUGCAGCCACUGCAUGACCCUAGGACCCAGAUCCCCCACAGGCUUUGAGAAGAUGACCCCAAGUCAAGCCGAGCGCAUAUGAGAGCAGUGGAGAAAGAGCUCUGUUUCUGUCUUCAAGAGGGCAUACUGCAUAUUUCCCAGAGACAAAAGGGAGCAUCGAACCCAAUGCCAGUUUGCUAACAGAGCCUUCCAUAUGCAAGCACCAGAGUUCUAUGCUUCACCAGGGGUUUAGGUCAAGGAGAGCAGGUGCGGAUGAGGUUCCAGGAGGAAGACACUCACAUGGAUGCUUUUCUUUUUCUACCUAGAGACAAUGGGUGUUUUCUCACUGGGUUUUAUAACAGGGAAGCAAAAUAGCCCUUGAGAAAAGUGCAAUGAAACAACUGCGAACACAAAGAUAUAUGUCGGCUGAAGUACAGUGGUGCAGCCUCCACCUCCUGAGCUCAAGUGAUAAGACAUAAAUAAGGUUCCAAUUAUAUCAAAGAUGCCAAUAUAUCAUAAUGACAGAAAAAUAAGGGAACCUAACCCUGGCUCACUCUCAGAACAUUUGACUCCACUGGUGGUAGAAUAACUCAAGAAUGACUAAACCUAUAAUUCAAGGAGGAGCCUAGGACCUAUCCAGAUGAUAAAGACACAGUUUUCAACCUGAGGUAACAUGAACUCAAAAGGAAGGGUAGAAGACUGGC